GUUAGGAAUAUUGGACAAUGGGCGCAAGCCUGAUCCAGCCAUGCCGCGUGAGUGAUGAAGGCCUUCGGGUUGUAAAGCUCUUUAGCCGAUGAUUAUAAUGACUGUAGUCGGAAAAUAAGCCCCGGCUAACUUCGUGCCAGCAGCCGCGGUAAUACGAAGGGGGCGAGCGUUAUUCGGAAUCACUGGGCGUAAAGCGUGCGUAGGCGGCUUUGCGAGUUGGGAGUGAAAGCCCAGGGCUCAACCCUGGAAUUGCUCUCAAAACUGCAAGGCUCGAAUUAGGGAGAGGAUAGCGGAAUUGUCAGUGUAGCAGUGAAAUGCGUAGAUAUUGACAGGAACACCAGUGGCGUAAGCGGCUAUCUGGACCGAUAUUGACGCUGAGGCACGAAAGCGUGGGGAUCAAACAGGAUUAGAAACCCUAGUAGUCC
This 425-nucleotide ribosomal RNA is filed under the name uncultured bacterium. Its description in RNAcentral is "partial 16S ribosomal RNA". It matches the Rfam family "Bacterial small subunit ribosomal RNA", at positions 354 to 796 of the family's 1533-position model. The record is from RNAcentral.